Molecule: long non-coding RNA, 2788 nt
Filed under: Solanum tuberosum (potato)
Lineage: Eukaryota; Viridiplantae; Streptophyta; Magnoliopsida; Solanales; Solanaceae
Description: long non-coding RNA (STUB_LNC002377)
Source: RNAcentral
UUCACUCCUUCCAAAUUACUCUCUCACUGUCACACUUCUCUCACCGCCACACUUCUCUACAGCGGCACUUCUCUGCCGUCUACAGCGGCACGUCUCCUCACAACUCUGUAAACUUCAGCUACUCACCAGAUUCAAAAUGGGAUAGGUGUUCUAAGGUAAUGUUUUCCACUUCUCACCUCUUUGAAUAAUGAACCUACCUCACAUUUUUGGAUUUUCUCAUCUGAAUCUUCACAAAUUGUACAAAUUACUGGUUGUAUUUACUAGAUAAGUUUAUUUUUUGGUUGUUUGUAUAGAUGCAUGGAGGUAGAAUUAGGUUAAUUUUGUUGUAUUCUUCAUGGAUGAAAAUUUUGAAAUAUCAAAUUUGAGCAUGUAUUUUGUGGUAGAAUUAGGUUUAUUUUGUUAUAAUUUUGGUGAUUCUACAGAUUCUUCGAGACAUUCUGUGUCUACAGAUUUUUUGGGACCACUUUGUCUCAAAUGGUGUCGCUAACAGGUGCCUUGUUUCUUCGUAAAAUUUGGAGUUGUCGUCUCCGUCGAUCCUUGUUUAAGCUGGAGUAAGGUGUAUAUAGUUUCCCUUUUUGUUUGUUAAUUAAUUCUUCUUUAGCUGUUACAUGUGCCCUCAAUCUUCACUUAUCUCUGUAUACUUGUAUUCAUACAUUAUAUUCUUAUUGAUUUGUAUCUUCAUUUUUUUCUUCUAAAUCACUAAUUUAUCAUUCUUCUAAAUUUGCAUGUCUUUGCUUAUUUGUUGUAUCUCUUCAAUCCAAUUGACUAUAUUCCAAGGUAGUUUGCAUUUAUCCACAAGUAUUCUUUGUAAAUAUAUUGAAUAUGGUUGGAUCAUGAUAUGAUCCAAAUGUUUGUUAUUACAAUGCUUGAUAGCUUCUAGGAUAGCCAGUGUCUCAGAUUAUUUUGGCCCUUACCAUAUCUGUAAUUCUGGCCAGGAGAAAGCAUAUCUAAAAGGUCAUAAACAGACUUCCUCUGUAGAAAAACAUCCCAUUUUGGACCAAAGUGUGUCCUACAUUGUUCCUGUAUUGUUUUAUAUAAACAAAUGUAUAAUCUUAUAGAAAAUGUUCCUUUGUUUAAUUUAUCAGGUCCGAUCCCUCUCCAAUAUUUGGAACUGAAAUUAACGAGAGAGCUUCUAGAUCUUCAAGGAUAAAGAAAGUUGAGGUACUCUUUCAUUUGCUUAGAUCACUAUAAUUUCUCAGUGGUUAGGCCUCUAGGGAAAUAGUUGAGGCCUCAAGUUCAUCUGAUGCUUAUGCUUAAAGUCAACUACAGUAGUAAUAAAUAGAGAUAAAUAGACAUUUGCUCUCAGAUACUGAAUGUUCUUGUUUAAUUUAUCAGGUCUGGCCCCUUUUCAAUAUUUGCUUUAUCUGGAACUGGAAUUAACGGGAGAGCUUCUAGAUCUUCAGGGAUAAAGAAAGUUGAGGUACUCUUUCCAUUUCUGCAUAUAAUGUUACAUAAAAAUUGUUAAAUAUGUCUGUAAUCUUAUAAUUUUCUCAUGAAAAUCUUAUAGGUGAUAUUGUCUGCUAAUCUUGUUUUUUUUUAUGGAUAAAUCUUGGAUUAGAAUGCCAAGGACCACAAAAGAAUAUUUGGUUGGCUUGAAUCAGUUCCUAGAAUUUGCAUUUAAAAAUGGAGCUAUAGAAGAUAGAAUAAAAUGUCCGUGUCCUCAAUGUUGUUUUGGCAAAUGGAAGACUAGAGAUAUAGUGUUUGAACAUUUGACUUGCAAGCCAUUUGAUCGCGUCUUUGAUCAAAUCAUAGUGGUAUAAACUCUAUAUUCUGACUACUAUACCUAUAUUCUUUUCUUGGACUUUUAUAUUUGGAUUUAAUAGAUAAGCUAACUAGUGUUUAUUCUUGAAGCCUUGAUUUUUUUCCGAGACAACCGACGAUAAGCUAACUAGUGCUUAUUCUGGAUCCACUGUGUUUUCUAGUGACAUAUCUAUUGAGAUUAGCUUCUUUAUUUCUGGCAAAGUUUUAUGGGCAAGGCAGCACUCAUGGUCUAGAACAUAUUUUCCAGGAUUGCUUCUGGAGCUUAGAAUGUGGAGUGUUGUUUGGUCUGAAUUAGGAAAAAAGAAUGUGGAAAUAUGAGUAUUUGUCUAUAGAACUUUGUGGAGUGUUGUUUGGUCUGGAUUAAUGCAAGAACAAGAUAAAAACUUGUGAUUCUUUUACUAUUAUGUGCAAUAAAGAAGUAGCAAGGUCCAGAACAUAUUUUUGCAUAUUCUUGUAUGUUAGUAUUGACCUAUUUGUUUAUGAUUGGCAUUUGUAUUGACAUUCAUAGUAGAGAAUUUAGUAUUUGUUUACAUACUGUUAUUGACAUACAAUAUGUAAGUAUUUUUUUUAUAAAUCACCAUAAUGGUUGGAUUAGGUUUCAGUCCUAAUCAUUUUAUUGCAUUCAAAAGAGGUUACAAAAGAAGGGUGAGAGCAUUUAUCAUAUUACUUAUUGUGUAUUUUUCUUUGUAGACAGAUGAUGCUAGUGACAGUAGUCGUAGUGACAAUCGUUGAAGUUCCAUGAAUAGUUGCAGGUCAUUUCUUGAGUAUGGAUGCUAGUGAACCCUUUUCAUCAAUAAAAGCAAGAUUAGCGAAUGACAGUUUUUGUAGUGAUUUGAAGUUUCUUGUAAUCGUAAUGGUUGAAGUGAAUGGUAUGUUUCAAUUUAGUUUGUAAAACUAAUAGUACACUUUAUGAUAUAUUUUUUUGUUGAAAUAUUUUGUUAUUUCUUAAUACUAAUAAGCCCUUUUAGGUUUGACUAUGAUGUACAUGUUAAUUAGUCAUUAAUAUUUAAAAUAGAUUUUUUCUAGC